CACUAUCGUUAACUGAAUACAUAGGUUAACGAGGCGAACCGGGGGAACUGAAACAUCUAAGUACCCCGAGGAAAAGAAAUCAACCGAGAUUCCCCCAGUAGCGGCGAGCGAACGGGGAGCAGCCCAGAGUCUGAAUCAGCUUGUGUGUUAGUGGAACGGUCUGGAAAGUCCGACGGUACAGGGUGAUAGUCCCGUACACCAAAAUGCACAGGCUGUGAACUCGAAGAGUAGGGCGGGACACGUGGUAUCCUGUCUGAAUAUGGGGGGACCAUCCUCCAAGGCUAAAUACUCCUGACUGACCGAUAGUGAACCAGUACCGUGAGGGAAAGGCGAAAAGAACCCCGGCGAGGGGAGUGAAAAAGAACCUGAAACCGUGUACGUACAAGCAGUGGGAGCACCUUCGGGUGUGACUGCGUACCUUUUGUAUAAUGGGUCAGCGACUUAUAUUCUGUAGCAAGGUUAACCGUAUAGGGGAGCCGCAGGGAAACCGAGUCUUAACUGGGCGUUAAGUUGCAGGGUAUAGACCCGAAACCCGGUGAUCUAGCCAUGGGCAGGUUGAAGGUUGGGUAACACUAACUGGAGGACCGAACCGACUAAUGUUGAAAAAUUAGCGGAUGACUUGUGGCUGGGGGUGAAAGGCCAAUCAAACCGGGAGAUAGCUGGUUCUCCCCGAAAGCUAUUUAGGUAGCGCCUCGUGAACUCAUCUUCGGGGGUAGAGCACUGUUUCGGCUAGGGGGUCAUCCCGACUUACCAACCCGAUGCAAACUACGAAUACCGAAGAAUGUUAUCACGGGAGACACACGGCGGGUGCUAACGUCCGUCGUGAAGAGGGAAACAACCCAGACCGCCAGCUAAGGUCCCAAAGUCAUGGUUAAGUGGGAAACGAUGUGGGAAGGCACAGACAGCCAGGAUGUUGGCUUAGAAGCAGCCAUCAUUUAAAGAAAGCGUAAUAGCUCACUGGUCGAGUCGGCCUGCGCGGAAGAUGUAACGGGGCUAAACCAUGCACCGAAGCUGCGGCAGCGACACUAUGUGUUGUUGGGUAGGGGAGCGUUCUGUAAGCCUGCGAAGGUGUGCUGUGAGGCAUGCUGGAGGUAUCAGAAGUGCGAAUGCUGACAUAAGUAACGAUAAAGCGGGUGAAAAGCCCGCUCGCCGGAAGACCAAGGGUUCCUGUCCAACGUUAAUCGGGGCAGGGUGAGUCGACCCCUAAGGCGAGGCCGAAAGGCGUAGUCGAUGGGAAACAGGUUAAUAUUCCUGUACUUGGUGUUACUGCGAAGGGGGGACGGAGAAGGCUAUGUUAGCCGGGCGACGGUUGUCCCGGUUUAAGCAUGUAGGCUGGUUGUCCAGGCAAAUCCGGAUAAUCAAGGCUGAGGUGUGAUGACGAGGCACUACGGUGCUGAAGUAACAAAUGCCCUGCUUCCAGGAAAAGCCUCUAAGCAUCAGGUAACAUCAAAUCGUACCCCAAACCGACACAGGUGGUCAGGUAGAGAAUACCAAGGCGCUUGAGAGAACUCGGGUGAAGGAACUAGGCAAAAUGGUGCCGUAACUUCGGGAGAAGGCACGCUGGUGUGUAGGUGAAGUCCCUGCGGAUGGAGCUGAGACCAGUCGAAGAUACCAGCUGGCUGCAACUGUUUAUUAAAAACACAGCACUGUGCAAACACGAAAGUGGACGUAUACGGUGUGACGCCUGCCCGGUGCCGGAAGGUUAAUUGAUGGGGUUAUCCGUAAGGAGAAGCUCUUGAUCGAAGCCCCGGUAAACGGCGGCCGUAACUAUAACGGUCCUAAGGUAGCGAAAUUCCUUGUCGGGUAAGUUCCGACCUGCACGAAUGGCGUAAUGAUGGCCAGGCUGUCUCCACCCGAGACUCAGUGAAAUUGAACUCGCUGUGAAGAUGCAGUGUACCCGCGGCAAGACGGAAAGACCCCGUGAACCUUUACUAUAGCUUGACACUGAACAUUGAGCCUUGAUGUGUAGGAUAGGUGGGAGGCUUUGAAGCGUGGACGCCAGUCUGCGUGGAGCCAACCUUGAAAUACCACCCUUUAAUGUUUGAUGUUCUAACGUUGGCCCCUGACCGGGGUUGCGGACAGUGUCUGGUGGGUAGUUUGACUGGGGCGGUCUCCUCCCAAAGCGUAACGGAGGAGCACGAAGGUUAGCUAAUCCUGGUCGGACAUCAGGAGGUUAGUGCAAUGGCAUAAGCUAGCUUGACUGCGAGCGUGACGGCGCGAGCAGGUGCGAAAGCAGGUCAUAGUGAUCCGGUGGUUCUGAAUGGAAGGGCCAUCGCUCAACGGAUAAAAGGUACUCCGGGGAUAACAGGCUGAUACCGCCCAAGAGUUCAUAUCGACGGCGGUGUUUGGCACCUCGAUGUCGGCUCAUCACAUCCUGGGGCUGAAGUAGGUCCCAAGGGUAUGGCUGUUCGCCAUUUAAAGUGGUACGCGAGCUGGGUUUAGAACGUCGUGAGACAGUUCGGUCCCUAUCUGCCGUGGGCGCUGGAGAAUUGAGGGGGGCUGCUCCUAGUACGAGAGGACCGGAGUGGACGCAUCACUGGUGUUCGGGUUGUCAUGCCAAUGGCACUGCCCGGUAGCUAAAUGCGGAAGAGAUAAGUGCUGAAAGCAUCUAAGCACGAAACUUGCCCCGAGAUGAGUUCUCCCUGAGACUUUAAGUCUCCUGAAGGAACGUUGAAGACGACGACGUUGAUAGGCCGGGUGUGUAAGCGCAGCGAUGCGUUGAGCUAACCGGUACUAAUGAACCGUGAGGCUUAACCUU
RNAcentral lists this ribosomal RNA (2758 nucleotides) under Klebsiella pneumoniae. Its description in RNAcentral is "partial 23S ribosomal RNA". It matches the Rfam family "Bacterial large subunit ribosomal RNA". RNAcentral also lists the same sequence under 1 other name. Lineage: Bacteria; Pseudomonadati; Pseudomonadota; Gammaproteobacteria; Enterobacterales; Enterobacteriaceae. The record is from RNAcentral.